RNAcentral lists this ribosomal RNA (423 nucleotides) under uncultured bacterium. RNAcentral describes it as "bacterial SSU rRNA". It matches the Rfam family "Bacterial small subunit ribosomal RNA", at positions 30 to 466 of the family's 1533-position model. The record is from RNAcentral.
AUUGAACGCUGGCGGUAGGCUUAACACAUGCAAGUCGAGCGGUAACAGUCCUUCGGGAGCUGACGAGCGGCGGACGGGUGAGUAACGCGUAGAAAACUGCCCGGUAGUGGAGGAUAGCCCAGAGAAAUUUGGAUUAAUACUGCAUACGCUCUACGGAGGAAAGCGGGCUUCGGCUCGCGCUAUCGGAUGUGUCUGCGUGAGAUUAGCUAGUUGGUGAGGUAAUGGCUCACCAAGGCGACGAUCUCUAGCUGGUCUGAGAGGAUGAUCAGCCACACUGGGACUGAGACACGGCCCAGACUCCUACGGGAGGCAGCAGUGGGGAAUAUUGCACAAUGGGGGAAACCCUGAUGCAGCCAUACCGCGUGUGUGAAGAAGGCCCUGGUUGUAAGCACUUCAUAGGGAGGAAAGGUAGUAGUUAAUACU